CCUACGGGUGGCAGCAGUGAGGAAUAUUGGUCAAUGGACGAGAGUCUGAACCAGCCAAGUAGCGUGCAGGAUGACUGCCCUAUGGGUUGUAAACUUCUUUUAUAUGGGAAUAAACUGUUCCACGUGUGGGAUUUUGUAUGUACCAUAUGAAUAAGGAUCGGCUAAUUCCGUGCCAGCAGCCGCGGUAAUACGGAGUAUCCGUGCGUUAUCCGGAUUUAUUGGGUUUAAAGGGAGCGUAGGUGGAUUGUUAAGUGUGUUGUGAAAUUUCGCGGCUCAACCGUAAAAUUGCAGUGGAAACUGGGAGUCUUGAGUACAGUAGAGGUGGGCGGAAGUCGUGGUGUAGCGGUGAAAUGCUUAGAUAGCACGAAGAACUCCGAUUGCGAAGGCAGUUCACUGUACUGUAACUGACACUGAGGCUCGAAAGUGUGGGUAUCAAACAGGAUUAGAUACCCGGGUAGUC
This 460-nucleotide ribosomal RNA is filed under the name uncultured bacterium. RNAcentral's name for it is "partial 16S ribosomal RNA". It matches the Rfam family "Bacterial small subunit ribosomal RNA", at positions 338 to 795 of the family's 1533-position model. The record is from RNAcentral.